Molecule: small RNA, 112 nt
Filed under: Otolemur garnettii (small-eared galago)
Lineage: Eukaryota; Metazoa; Chordata; Mammalia; Primates; Galagidae
Description: Y RNA (ENSOGAG00000033632.1)
Source: RNAcentral
GGCUUCCUAUGGAGCUGGGCAGAGGAUAAUGAAAAUAGGCCAUGUUAUCAAAAUCAAUUAUGGAUUUUUUUGUUCCUUCUUUACUCCCACUGCUUCACUUGACUAAUCUUAA